Long non-coding RNA from Cervus elaphus (red deer), 428 nucleotides. RefSeq lists it as uncharacterized. Lineage: Eukaryota; Metazoa; Chordata; Mammalia; Artiodactyla; Cervidae. The transcript has 4 exons. The record is from RefSeq and is a predicted model, not a curated record.
CCCCCACCCCCCACCCCACCAGAGGUCACUCAGAAGUUGGGUGCAUCCUGAACAUCUUCCCUGGAAAACUGGUUUCCAGGCAGGUCAGAAAAUGAGACCAGUGACAGCAUCUGGGAUGAUUCCAGGAAGAGGCUAAUAAAUCAGGCCCAGGAUGAAUCUAGCUACCCCGAAGAUGGAAGGAGGCAAGCCAGGAACUGACCCUUCUCAUAAUCCAUGUGGGAUUCAGACGUCCACUUAGCAGCAUCCGGGUCCUCUGAACGCUCCAGGACACUUCUUUGGAUGCCCAUGGAACGAAGGUCCCAGGGAAAAGCAUGGCUGUCUUCCUAAAGAACCACCAACCCUGAACAUUGAUUGGAAGGACUGAUGCUGAAGCUGAAGCUCCAAUACUUUGGCCAGCUGAUGCAAAGAGCCGACUCAUUGGAAAAGAC